AACAUGUCUUUUUGAUAAUAAUUUAAAGUCUAAUCUGCCCACUGAAUUAUUUUAAAGGGCUGCAGUAUAUUGACUGUACAAAGGUAGCAUAAUCAUUAGUCUUUUAAUUGAAGACUUGUAUGAAUGAUUUGAUGAAAUAUAAACUGUCUCUUUAUUAAUAAUAGAAAUUAAUUUUUUAGUUAAAAAGCUAAAAUUUAUUUAAAAGACGAGAAGACCCUAUAGAGUUUUAUAUUUAAAUUUAUAUUAAUUCUUUAUAAAAUUUAUAUUUAAUAUUUUUUUAAUUAUUUUAUUGGGGUGAUAGAAAAAUUUAUUAAACUUUUUUUAAAAUUUUUACAUUAAUAUAUGAAAUUUUGAUCCAUAAUUUAUGAUUAAAAGAUUAAAUUACCUUAGGGAUAACAGCGUAAUUUUUUUUUUUAGUUCUUAUAAGAAAAAAAGUUUGCGACCUCGAUGUUGGAUUAAGAUAAAAUUUAAAUGCAAAAGUUUAAA
This 486-nucleotide ribosomal RNA is filed under the name Pieris brassicae (large cabbage white). RNAcentral describes it as "partial 16S ribosomal RNA". The record is from RNAcentral. Lineage: Eukaryota; Metazoa; Arthropoda; Insecta; Lepidoptera; Pieridae.